UACGUAGGGGGCAAGCGUUAUCCGGAUUUACUGGGUGUAAAGGGAGCGUAGACGGUUAUGCAAGUCAGAAGUGAAAGCCCAAAGCUCAACUUCGGGACUGCUUUUGAAACUGUGUAACUAGAGUGCUGGAGGGGUAAGCGGAAUUCCUAGUGUAGCGGUGAAAUGCGUAGAUAUUAGGAGGAACACCGGCGGCGAAGGCGGCUUACUGGACUGUAACUGACGUUGAGGCUCGAAAGCGUGGGGAGCAAACAGG
Molecule: ribosomal RNA, 253 nt
Filed under: uncultured bacterium
Lineage: Bacteria
Description: partial 16S ribosomal RNA
Rfam family: Bacterial small subunit ribosomal RNA
Source: RNAcentral